Gorilla gorilla gorilla (western lowland gorilla) is the source of this 1920-nucleotide long non-coding RNA. RefSeq lists it as uncharacterized. The record is from RefSeq and is a predicted model, not a curated record. The transcript is spliced from 8 exons. NCBI's taxonomy places the organism in Eukaryota, Metazoa, Chordata, Mammalia, Primates, Hominidae.
CCCGGCGGCUCCAGGGGGCGGAGCCGAGCCGCCUCCUCAGGACCUACGCAGGAGGCGCCGUCAUCCCUACAGGGACACCUGAGAGGACCCAGCCUCCUCCUCCUCAGGACCCACUCGGGAGACGCCGCUGGCUCUAUAGGAACACCUGGGGACCGUGGCCAGGGACCACCCAGCCUCCUUCUCCUCAGCUCCUCAGGAACCACUGGGGGAGCUGUGGCUUCAUGGUCCCCGAGGCUGCCCGAGGAAAGGUAUUUCAGGACAGCCAGGAGGGGGCGCACAUCCGCCGAGAAACUGUGAGCAAGAGCGUCUGUGCUGAACCACGGAGCCACCAGAGGGCGCGCGAUCCCGCCCCAACCAACUUCCCGCGGAGGUGCCAGAAGCAGCGAGGAGCUUCAACUUCCUCAGGGCAGCACGAGGGUCGUGUUAACUUGGUGUUCUUCAUUGAGAAAUGGAAUCAUCGUAUCGCUGAUCUACGUAAACAAAUUGAAGAAUUGUCUGAAAGAAAAUAUGACAUGAACUUAUGAAUUCAACAGGUGAAGAUUUACAACUUGAUAAAUCAGCUUUGUGAGCUCGAGCUGUAAAAGCCAAAGGUCUGGUGAUGAUCCCAUACCCUUUUUUCCAGUCUCAUGUUGAAGAUUUUUAUGUAGAAGGCCUUCCCAAAGGAAUUUUUUUUUGAGAUGGAGUUUUCACUCUUAUCGCCCAGGCUGGGGUGCAAUGGCGCAACCUUGCUGGUCACUGCAACCUCUGCCUCCUGGGUUCAAGAAAUUCUCCUGCCUUAGCCUCCCAAGUCGCUGGGAUUACAGGUGCCCACCACCACACCAGGCUAAUUUUUGUAUUUUUAGUGGAGAUGGGGUUUCACCAUGUUGGCCGGGCCAGUCUCGAACUCCUGACGUCAAGUGAUCUUCCCGCCUCGACUCCUGACAUCAAGUGAUCUUCCCGCCUCAGCCUUCCAGAGUGCUGAGAUUACAGACGUGAACCCAUGCCUGGUCAGGAAUUUUGUUUUUUAGGAAGGCUUUCUACUAAUGGAAUUCCUGGCCUUGAGAGGAUGUUACUUUCGAAGGAAAGGAUUUUUUUGUUAUUAAAAGAAACAGGACCUUGCCCUGUCACUCAGGAUGGAGUUCAGUGCUCCUAUCAUGGCUCAUUAUAGCCUCAAACUCCCAGGCUCAAGCAAUCCUACCAUGUCAGCCUUCCCGUAGCUGGGACUACAGAGACGAGGUUUCGCCGUGUUUCCCAGACUGUUCUCAAACUCCUGAGCUCAAAGCAGUCCACCCACCUUGGCCUCCCAGAGUGCUGGGAUUACAGGUGUGAGCCAUCUUGCUCAUUCUAGUUUAAACUUUUGAGUGGUUUGUGUCUCCUGAUUGGACUCCUACAAAUACAGAAUUGAUGCUAGGAAGGGUACCAGGAGAUAGACGCACACAGAUGGGAUUUGGGAAUAGGUUUGGUUAUCCAAGGAGCAGUGCUGAGCUCCUUGCUAAUGGGAUAUGGGAUGCUGGUGAUUUCCAGGAAGUGAGCUCACAAUGACUCAAGCUGCCACAUACUGUUGAUUGUGAAAUGCCAGUUGAAGUAUAUGUCCUGCGAGCUUAGGGGUGCUACAAGUUGACCACUGCAGCAGUAAAGAUGACUCUGAAGAAUGGCGUGGGGUGGAUCCUUUCAAAUGCACUUGAGCAGCGGUCUCCAACCACAGGGCCACAGAGCUGGAGCUGGAUCUACCAUGAAGGACUUCUGAAUCCAGGAAGAGAGACUGACUGGGCAACAUGUUAUUCAGGUACAAAAAGAUUUGGACUGUAACUUAAAAAUGAUCAAAUAAUAGUGCAUGCAUCAAGUGCAAUGGGAAGCUCUUCUGGAGAGUGAGAGAAGCUUCCAGUUAAGGUGACAUUGAAGCCAAGUCCUGAAAGAUGAGGAACAGUUGUAUGAGAGUGG